Molecule: long non-coding RNA, 522 nt
Filed under: Oryza sativa Indica Group (long-grained rice)
Lineage: Eukaryota; Viridiplantae; Streptophyta; Magnoliopsida; Poales; Poaceae
Description: lncRNA OsZS97_05G002640
Source: RNAcentral
UGAUCCCGGAGGAGAGCAUCUACUGCACACCGCCGCACGUCCCUCCUCCUCCGGCGGCAACUGGGGAUACUGUCAGCCACCGGCGGUGCACGCGGCGAGUGUAGGGGCACGGUGGGUCAGCGUCCGGCGAGGCGCACCGACGCGUGCUCGCCGGGAGAGGGUACAUCAGCUACUAGUCUUUGCGCCGAGACAGCGUCCCGUGCUCUCGUCGUGACGCCAGCUACUACAACUGCCGCCCUGGCGCCUCCACCAACCCCUACCACUGCGGCUGCUCCCGCAUCUCCCACUGCCGCGGCUGAUCUCCUCCUCCGCCGCCGCCGAAUCCACCGGGGAAGAUGGCAUCGUCGUCGUCGUCGCCGGUGUACUCCCCGUGGCAGCGAUGGUGGCUUAGAGGAGGCUGCUCGCCGAGGCGCCUCCAUACCAGCCGCACUCCUCGCGGCACCAGCAGGGCGCACUAGGGCACUAUCUGCCGCCGGCUUCAUGGGGUGGUUGAUGUUGGGCAUGAGGCCGGUGAUGACGUAG